CCUACGGGAGGCAGCAGUGGGGAAUAUUGGACAAUGGGGGGAACCCUGAUCCAGCCAUGCCGCGUGUGUGAAGAAGGCCCUCGGGUUGUAAAGCACUUUCAGUGAGGAAGAACGCCUGGUGGUUAAUACCCAUCAGGAAAGACAUCACUCACAGAAGAAGCACCGGCUAACUCCGUGCCAGCAGCCGCGGUAAUACGGAGGGUGCGAGCGUUAAUCGGAAUUACUGGGCGUAAAGCGCGCGUAGGUGGCUUGAUAAGCCGGUUGUGAAAGCCCCGGGCUCAACCUGGGAACGGCAUCCGGAACUGUCAAGCUAGAGUGCGGGAGAGGAAGGUAGAAUUCCCGGUGUAGCGGUGAAAUGCGUAGAGAUCGGGAGGAAUACCAGUGGCGAAGGCGGCCUUCUGGACUGACACUGACACUGAGGUGCGAAAGCGUGGGUAGCAAACAGGUUUAGAUACCCUGGUAGUC
Molecule: ribosomal RNA, 465 nt
Filed under: Vreelandella stevensii
Lineage: Bacteria; Pseudomonadati; Pseudomonadota; Gammaproteobacteria; Oceanospirillales; Halomonadaceae
Description: partial 16S ribosomal RNA
Rfam family: Bacterial small subunit ribosomal RNA
Source: RNAcentral